This 291-nucleotide ribosomal RNA is filed under the name Bacillus cereus. Its description in RNAcentral is "partial 23S ribosomal RNA". It matches the Rfam family "Bacterial large subunit ribosomal RNA", at positions 496 to 790 of the family's 2925-position model. The record is from RNAcentral. Lineage: Bacteria; Bacillati; Bacillota; Bacilli; Caryophanales; Bacillaceae.
CAGUACCGUGAGGGAAAGGUGAAAAGCACCCCGGAAGGGGAGUGAAAGAGAUCCUGAAACCGUGUGCCUACAAAUAGUCAGAGCCCGUUAAUGGGUGAUGGCGUGCCUUUUGUAGAAUGAACCGGCGAGUUACGAUCCCGUGCGAGGUUAAGCUGAAGAGGCGGAGCCGCAGCGAAAGCGAGUCUGAAUAGGGCGUUUAGUACGUGGUCGUAGACCCGAAACCAGGUGAUCUACCCAUGUCCAGGGUGAAGUUCAGGUAACACUGAAUGGAGGCCCGAACCCACGCACGUU